GUCUUUUUGAUUAAUAAUUUAAAGUUUAAUCUGCCCCCUGAUUAAAAAUUAAAGGGCUGCAGUAUAUUGACUGUACAAAGGUAGCAUAAUCAUUAGUCUUUUAAUUGAAGACUUGUAUGAAAGAUUUGAUGAAAUAUAAACUGUCUCUAAAUUAUAUAUUGAAAUUAAUUUUUUAAUUAAAAAGUUAAAAUAAUUUAAAAAGACGAGAAGACCCUAUAGAGUUUUAUAAUUAUAAUUUUUUUUUAUUAUUUAUAUAAAAAUUGAAUUAAAAGAAUUAUAAUUAUUUUAUUGGGGUGAUAGAAAAAUUAAAAGAACUUUUUUUAAAAUAANNNCAUUAAUAAGUGAAUAAAUGAUCCAUAAUUUAUGAUUAAAAGAAAAAAUUACCUUAGGGAUAACAGCGUAAUUUUUUUUUUUAGUACAAAUAAAAAAAAAAGGUUGCGACCUCGAUGUUGGAUUAAGAUAAAAUUUAAAUGCAAAAGUUUAAAAUUUUGAUCUGUUCGAUCAUUAAAAUCUUACAU
Molecule: ribosomal RNA, 518 nt
Filed under: Eueides isabella
Lineage: Eukaryota; Metazoa; Arthropoda; Insecta; Lepidoptera; Nymphalidae
Description: partial 16S ribosomal RNA
Rfam family: Bacterial large subunit ribosomal RNA (bases 391-518)
Source: RNAcentral